CAGGGUGGAUUUGAGAGGCUCUGUUAACUAACAGCCUUUAAAAACACACUGAGGGACGGCAGGUGAGCAUCCCUGCUGCAACUUGAUGUGGUUAAAGCAAGGUUAGAGGGGGAUGAGGAGCUCCUCUGGGCUCAGGAGCCUCUGACCUGAGCAAAAGUUCCCUCUGCCAGGGCUACAAGGGAUGUGAUGCUGCUGAAGUUUGUUGUUGUAGCACUCACACACCCAGGACUCAGGAAUCAGCUCGAGUCAGGGUCUCACACAGACCUGGUGCAGCUCCUUUUAACCUCCCUGCCUUCCAAAGGAUUCCUUGCCAGCGCUGCCACGUGAACUCAGUUAAUUACAGGGGAGGAAAUUACAGCCCCACAGACUUCACAGAGAAUAUUCGGCACAGGCUUAUUUGUUGCACCUGUCUGUGUCUCCCUAACUCCAGAAAUUAGAGCUGAAAUCCCCGGCUACAUCUGCUUUGGCCAGAGAAGAGCCUCAGUCAAAGUGGGUCAACGCUAUGCUCCACCUUUGGCACAGACACAAAUGCUAUUUUUUUAUGUGGUUCAGUGGGAGGAAUGGUUUUGAUCAUUAAAAGCAAAGCAAAAAUUAUUUCAAGCAAAAUUCCAGAGCCUCUCUG
RNAcentral lists this long non-coding RNA (622 nucleotides) under Parus major (Great Tit). RNAcentral's name for it is "lncRNA (ENSPMJG00000003023.1)". Lineage: Eukaryota; Metazoa; Chordata; Aves; Passeriformes; Paridae. The record is from RNAcentral.